GGCCGUGUGGCGAAAUGGCAUCGCGCUUGACUACGAAUCAAGAGAUUCCAGGUUCGACCCCUGGUACGGUCA
Non-coding RNA from Saccharata proteae CBS 121410, 72 nucleotides. The record is from the annotation of a GenBank genome assembly. NCBI's taxonomy places the organism in Eukaryota, Fungi, Ascomycota, Dothideomycetes, Botryosphaeriales, Saccharataceae.